This 508-nucleotide ribosomal RNA is filed under the name Anachauliodes laboissierei. RNAcentral's name for it is "partial 16S ribosomal RNA". It matches the Rfam family "Bacterial large subunit ribosomal RNA", at positions 1893 to 2594 of the family's 2925-position model. The record is from RNAcentral. Lineage: Eukaryota; Metazoa; Arthropoda; Insecta; Megaloptera; Corydalidae.
GUCUUUUUGAUUAUAAUUUAAAGUCUAACCUGCCCACUGAAUUUUUUGAAGGGCCGCGGUAUUUUGACUGUGCAAAGGUAGCAUAAUCAUUAGUCUUUUAAUUGAAGGCUUGUAUGAAUGGUUGGAUGAGGUAAUAACUGUCUCAAAUUAAUAAAUAAUAAAACUUUAUUUUUAAGUUAAAAAGCUUAAAUAUAAUUAGAGGACGAGAAGACCCUAUAGAUCUUUAUAAAUUAAUAAAUUUUAAUUUUUUAGUUAAAAUAUGUUUUUAUUAGUUAGUUUAUUUUAUUGGGGUGAUAGAAAAAUUUAAAAAACUUUUUUUUUAGUUAAACAAUGAUUUUUGAUUAAUUGAUCCAUUAUUAAUGAUUAAAAGAUUAAGUUACCUUAGGGAUAACAGCGUAAUUUUUUUGAAGAGUUCAUAUCGAUAAAAAAGAUUGCGACCUCGAUGUUGAAUUAAAGGUUAAUUUUAGGUGUAGAAGUUUAAAGUUUUGGUCUGUUCGACCAUUAAAUC